Molecule: ribosomal RNA, 316 nt
Filed under: uncultured Chloroflexota bacterium
Lineage: Bacteria; Bacillati; Chloroflexota
Description: bacterial SSU rRNA
Rfam family: Bacterial small subunit ribosomal RNA
Source: RNAcentral
GAUAAACGCUGGCGGCGUGCUUUAUGCAUGCAAGUCGAACGGCUUUGAUUUAUCAAAGCAGUGGCGAAUGGGUGAGUAACACGUAAGUAACCUGCCCCUAAGUGGAGAAUAACCUCGGGAAACCGGAGUUAAUACUGCAUGUGGUGAUAGAGUUUCGGCUUUAUCACUAAAGCCUUCGGGCGCUUGGGGAUGGGCUUGCGGUCGAUUAGCUAGUUGGUGGGGUAACGGCCCACCAAGGCGACGAUCGAUAGCUGGUCUGAGAGGAUGGUCAGCCACACUGGGACUGAGAUACGGCCCAGACUCCUACGGGAGGCAG